RNAcentral lists this ribosomal RNA (433 nucleotides) under uncultured bacterium. RNAcentral's name for it is "partial 16S ribosomal RNA". It matches the Rfam family "Bacterial small subunit ribosomal RNA", at positions 29 to 507 of the family's 1533-position model. The record is from RNAcentral.
AGCGAAUGCUGGCGGCAGGCCUAACACAUGCAAGUCGAACGAACUCUUCGGAGUUAGUGGCGGACGGGUGAGUAACACGUGGGAACGUGCCUUUUGGUUCGGAAUAACUCAGGGAAACUUGUGCUAAUACCGAAUGUGCCCUUCGGGGGAAAGAUUUAUCGCCAUUAGAGCGGCCCGCGUCUGAUUAGCUAGUUGGUGAGGUAACGGCUCACCAAGGCGACGAUCAGUAGCUGGUCUGAGAGGAUGACCAGCCACACUGGGACUGAGACACGGCCCAGACUCCUACGGGAGGCAGCAGUGGGGAAUCUUGCGCAAUGGGCGAAAGCCUGACGCAGCCAUGCCGCGUGAAUGAUGAAGGUCUUAGGAUUGUAAAAUUCUUUCACCGGGGACGAUAAUGACGGUACCCGGAGAAGAAGCCCCGGCUAACUUCGUG